GGGCUUGUACUGGUUUCGACGGGGGUUUUGAAGUUGGAGAAGCCAUCCGCGGGACGGGACCGCGCAGUAAACCGUAAUCUAAAAAUAAACGCAGACAAUAAUAAAUUAGCGUACGCUGCCUAAUUUCGGCAGCAGUCGGCCUUAGGCUUCCCGCAGCUUAAGCAACCGGCUUCGACUUUUGCGGGGCACUUCACUCCCAAAGCUUUGAGGGAAUGGAAGAUCUUAUGAAGCUACCAAAGAAAUCAGCCUGUCAUUAGGCGGGUUUUCGAGGGAAACUUAAAAUAAUGACUGUGAUGGGAGAUGCUUCGAUGGAGAGGCUUUCGGACGCGGGUUCGAUUCCCGCCAGGUCCAUCU
RNAcentral lists this transfer-messenger RNA (354 nucleotides) under Drancourtella sp. An210. It matches the Rfam family "transfer-messenger RNA". From Rfam's summary of the family: Bacterial tmRNA, also known as 10Sa RNA or SsrA, is named for its dual tRNA and mRNA-like properties. The record is from RNAcentral. Lineage: Bacteria; Bacillati; Bacillota; Clostridia; Eubacteriales; Oscillospiraceae. RNAcentral also lists the same sequence under 1 other name.